CGCCGCCACUUCCUCUCGCCGCCCACCUCGCAAGCCCGCCCGUCCGCCCCGCCCCGGUCGGCCCCACCCCUCCUCCUCGUGCGCCCGCCCGCCCCAAACUCCGGCAAACAAAACGCACCAUUCACAACUCUGCGACCUGAGCCGCGCAUGCGCCGCCCACCCGCUUGCGGGGCGGCUGGACUGCAGCGAGCCAGAGGUGCGGCCUUCUCACCCUUGCGGGCCCGCGGUUUCCUCUGUGUGGAACUGCUCUGCGGACAUCUGCCCGGACCUUGGAGAGAGGGAGCCGUUCGCGCGGUUCCUUUCUGUAGACUGUAUGAAACUUUGGGGCUUCUCAGCUGCUUGGAGUGACCCCAGAUUGUCACCUGAACUGUCUCAGACACAGGAAAUGCCAACCAAGAAUAAACCAAGACCUGCAGAUAGAGAUCAAUGGAUCAAUAAAGGAGGUUGAAUAAUUCAA
Panthera uncia (snow leopard) is the source of this 457-nucleotide long non-coding RNA. RefSeq lists it as uncharacterized. Lineage: Eukaryota; Metazoa; Chordata; Mammalia; Carnivora; Felidae. The record is from RefSeq and is a predicted model, not a curated record. The transcript has 2 exons.